This 507-nucleotide long non-coding RNA is filed under the name Cyanistes caeruleus (blue tit). Its description in RNAcentral is "lncRNA (ENSCCEG00000019050.1)". Lineage: Eukaryota; Metazoa; Chordata; Aves; Passeriformes; Paridae. The record is from RNAcentral.
UAAUAAACACAGAAGCGCUUCGGUGUUUGACGCGUUGCUCUGCGAUUGAGCUGUUUGGGAAUUGCUGUGGAUAAUAAAUUGCUGGCUGUGGAGGCAGGGAUUGCUGGCAUGUCUCACAUCCAGCGCUCAGACAAUGUAGCAGCGUGUGCUGACAGCGGAGCGCGUCCCUGCUACACCUGCCCUGGAGUGCCACUUGGACAAGAGACUGGUUUGUCUCCUGCCUACACCCACACUGAAAUUGAAAUAAGAUGCCUAAUGGGAGUUCUGUUGCCUCUUGAGUCUUUUAGCAGCUCUCCAGCAUUUAAGAAGCAGCACGCCCUCAGGUGCUGGGGCUCCCACCACCUUCCUGUUCUGUGAUGCAACACAUCUGCUGGGACCUUGGAAAAACAGGGAAAUGAUUACAAUACUGCCAUAGUCUGCUCCAGAGAGUGAGGUAUGCUAUUGGUUUAUGUGGGGGGAGUUAAAAGGCCAUGGCAUAAUGCCCAUAAUUUUUUAGUCAUUUAAUUU